UAACAAUCCAAACUACUAAACUAGACCAUAAGAUUUUGGUUCGCGCAGCGCAAGAGAUUAAAGCAACAUUGUGCAUGUGAUUAUCACAAGAAGAGAGUUACCGAACGGCGAUCUUGUCUGUCUGUGCCCACUAAGAAUACUUGUCUUAUCCAAGACCAGUUGGCAGUCGUGGUUCAUGUGAUUUUUAUAUGAGAAAUAAAAGAUUUAAACAAAAGUCGUAUAUGUGUUUUUCUGCUAGGUUAUUAGCAUGUUUGUCUCCCUCGCAGUCGUAAAAAUUACCGCACUAUUUGUCAAUUUAUUUUUACACUAGUAUUGAUAUUAGCGCUAUACCACCUAUGAUCUACGACUGUGGUAAGGAUUUGAGAGAAGCCAUCAAACUAUUUUACUCUUUUUUUUUGGUGGCCAGUUCGUUCUUUAAUAUUUUUUGUAGAAUGUUUUGAAAACGGACAAAGAAAAGGCCUGACUCCACGUAACACUUGAAACAUUUUUAAAGAGAUCUAAUUAUUUAAAAAUGUCGAUGAAUUAUCGUUACAGUUGAUUAUGGAAAUGACCUUUUUUAUCAAAUGGAAAUUACCUUAAUUAGGGGAGUUUCUCUAGGAUUACAAACUAAUUUUACAUGCCAUUUCAUUUUGGGUGAUGGAAAAAACAGACAUGGGUUUCGUGUAUUAUUGGGAUCUGAGGGCCACCUCAAUAGUGAAGAAACUUGGCAUAUAUGUAUUUCACCACACAAGUAAUAAAAAUGAUAUUGUAUAUGAUUACUUGUUAUAUGAAUAUAUUGAUAUAUAUAUAUCACCACAUAUGUAGAAAACAAUUACUUGUUAUAUAUAUCAUAUAUGUAUUUCACCACAUAUUUAUAUAUAAACAGGUAAUCACUUUUUAUAAUGUCAUAUAUAAUAUAUAUCUUCAAUGUACGAAUAUUAUACUUUCAUAUAUCACUUUUCUUGGUUUAUUUCUCGUUCUCCAUUCACUUCUAUAUAUUGAUUCUCCCACCAACAGCGUUUUCUUGAUAGCAAUCCGUUGAAUAAUCGAUUUUAAAUUAUUAUCAUUGUUUUCAAAUAAAUUAUUAUAUUGGGAAACUAUCCAAAGAUAUUCAAAAAUGCCUGUAACAAACACAUGCAUUCCGUCUUCUUUGGAUUGUUUAAUUCGUCAUAUGCUGCUCCCGUUUCCAACAAGAAGCUCCAGUAGUCGUCCUUUCCUUCUAGUGUUUUAUUUAUCCUGAUUUAGACUUCUUUAGUUGCAUCAUUGCAUGCUUUCUCUUGUGUUUGAUUGUUUGUGUUUAAGUUGCUUAAAUAAAUUGGUAGCAAUAUUGUAAAACUCUUAAGAAGGUAGGUAAAUUUAACAUGAUUACACAAAAAACCGUUUCAAUGAUUUGAUGAUAAACAAUCUAUAGGUUUACAUAUAUUUAUAACCUAUAGAUUUUUUCCAACACAUAUAGAUUAUUAAGAGCAGGACCACUAACGAUAAUUCAUAUCAAACUUAAAGAACAUUAAAACAACGUUAGCUAUACUUAGAAUAUGUUUUUUUUGCUCUUUUGGUAUCGAGCGUCUAAGAUUUGUUAGAAGAACUGCUUUUGCGUUUUAUGUUUUUGCACGAGUUUGAAUUUGUGUUCGCAAUUAAAUACGCUUUUUUAAUUUGCAAUAAUUAACUUACUCUUAUAUAAAAGUAUUACAUAUAUAAUAUGUUCAGUUCGUAUAUAUAUUAAUAUAAUUGUAUGUAUUAAAUUAAAUGAAGUUCUAACAACAAAAUGCAUUUGUGUUUGUAGCCAUGUAAUUCUGUGACAGUCUGAGCAAUAUCUCUUGAAACAAUCAUAUGAUGGAAUGUAUUUAAAAGGUUGCUGACGCGUGAAUUCUUAUCUAAUUGGUUGCUUCUUACCUAAUCAAAAGAUUAAUUAGUGAAACAUCAUAGUGCAUUGAUUAGAAUAUAUCAUUUUAUUGGUUAAUUCCACCCACUGCCUAUUGAUUCCUAUCAGUCACUUACUUUCUCUACAAGUUGAAAUUUUAUAUAGGAGAUUCGAUAUUAGCUGAAAGAACACGUAUUCAUUAGCUUACGUCCCUUUUUUGAUUCGUCGAUAAAAAGCUGAAAACAUAAGAGUAUAAUCUAUUGUAAGAUUUUGACCGAAAAAAAAAAAUCUAUUGUACGAUUCAAUCAAAUGUACCUUAAGCUUAACCUUGAAACUUGAUCAAAGUUCCAAAUUUUCAGAUAUUUUUGUUGUCGUGACAUUUGUCACGCGACCGUUUGAGAUUGUUAACGAAUAAAAUAUAAGUCAGUGCUUAAAGUCAUUAGUGCCUAUGUCUUAUUGUCAGAAACUGAAUUAUACUAGUGAAUGUAUGAUUUUCAUUUAAUUUCCCUGUUCACAACUGUAUGCUUUCAUCUAACAACAAAUCAUGCUUUUAAGAGGAAACUAUCUAUUACUAUGUUAAAUAUUACUAGUAUUUUAAGGAGUUUUAGGUACGCUAUUAGAAAAUAAUUUUAAAGGUCUGAUAGCAAUCAUCAUCAUCACUGGGAGCUCACAUAAAGUGUGCCUAAAUAUAACUCAGCUCGAGAGGAGUUUUACUACAGCCCAUGGAAUCUUAUUGGGCCUGUUGAGAUGAUACUUAAUAUCUGAGUCUGAACUCUGAACCAUCAUGCAUGCUUCUGUGAGAUGAAAACUAUAUGCCAUAUGUAAUCUGUUCUUAAAGAGUUUUUCUAUUGAGAGGCAGAACUAUACACUCCAAAUUUAAGCAUGGCAUUCGGGUAUCCAUUUGGAUACAUAUCAGUUUUUUCGGAUAUUAGUUUUUUGAGUUUUAAAAUCAGACUCCAUAUGGGUAUUACAAAAUUUUAAGGUGGAUUCGAGUCGGAUCUUCCGAGUCCAAAUUGGUUCGGCUCUGAUAUUUAGGAACCUGAAAAUAAACGAAUAAAAUAUCUGAAACGGAUUCGGAUAUUUAUACCCAAAAUAAUCAUAUUACUCGAUUUAGUUCAGGUAUUUUGUAUCCAAACUAUCCAAACGUACCAAGAAAUAACUAAAAAUAUUCAUUAUAUGUUAAGCUGAGUUUCCAACCUAAAACCAAUUGGUGAUAAGUGGAGUGGUCCAUCCAUCUUAUAUAUUGCUAAGGAUCCCUUCCAAUAUCCGAUGUGAGACAUUUAUCCCUAAUACGCCCCCUCGAGAUGAUGGCUCUUUGAGCGUCAAUCUCAGAAUGUUCGGGCAAGGAUUGAUGGGCCGACUUUGGGUUGGAUCGAUAAUGGAUCGGAUUGGACUGCAUGGAUCGGGUUCUGAUACCAUGUUAAGCUAGAUGGACUUCCAACCUAAAACCAAUUGGUUCUAAGUGGAGUGGCCCAUCCAUCUUAUAUAUUGCUAAGGAUCCCUUCCAUUAUCUGAUAUGUGACAUUUAUCCCUAAUAUUAUAUACAGUUUUGUUCGAGUAUUUCUACCAAAACUAUUUUAUUUUAUCUGAAAAUACACAAAAUAUUGAAAAAUAACUAAUAUUUUUUUUGUCAUCAACUUAAACAGAUUCAUACUAACUCUGUUAACCACACCGGGAGCUCCGGAUUCAUAUGAACGACGAAAGACGGUUGCAUCCUUACACUGCGUGCUAGAUAAUCCGCCUUAGAAUUCUGCGUUCGUAGUACAUGAAUGAUAUCUGAGCUGAGGAAUAUAUUUAAUUUAAUUAAUUUAUGAUUUUAAUUUAAACUAUUAAAAUAAUUAUAAGUAUAAUUAUAACAAAUAUUUUUAAAUAUAUAAUUACUUUUUGGAUAUUCAUUCGGUUCUCGGUUCGGACUGAGUCUGAUACCGAUGGAUAUAGCAAUUUAGGAUCUAUUCGGUUAUAUAUCAUGAAUCCGAUCGGAUUUGAAACCAUGAUUUUUGGGUCGAUUCUUUGGGUCUGGAUAUUUUACCCAGCCCUACUUAAAUUAUCAUUGUUGUGCCUUUUGAUCAAAAACGUUUCGAAUAUCAAUGCGACCUUUUCUUUCUGAAAAUAAAAUAUGUGAUUGUAUAUGUCACUAACUGUUCAUCUUAAGAAGCAAAACUAACAUAUCUACCUCUCCUAGAGAAACCAACAACAUACAGCUGCGGAGAAUCAUCAAAGCACAAAAAAAUAUGUAAUCGAAGGGGCUGAAAAUGCAAGUAACCUAUACCUGAUCAUGAAAUGCAUCACCUAAAGCUAAGAUCAACAAUUUGCAAAGUCAUUAUAGAAACAUUGGAAGACAAAGAUAGAUGUCUUAACAUUGACAAGAACUCAUCACCGAAAACAAGUUAUAUGCUCAUCUGAAGUUACAAUGUACCAACUUAUAACCGAAAAGGAAGAAAAUCUAUAUGCUGAAAGAGUGUUCAAGAAGGUACAUCUCCAUCAGGCAUCUCCCAGUUAUCUUCUUCUUCAUCCUUCUUCUUACUCUUGGUUGCUGCCGCUGCUGCUUCUUCUCUAGUCUCUUGAGUAAACUUUGCAAAAGGACGCCUGACAAACAAAACCACAAAUACAAA
Molecule: long non-coding RNA, 4452 nt
Organism: Brassica rapa (field mustard)
Lineage: Eukaryota; Viridiplantae; Streptophyta; Magnoliopsida; Brassicales; Brassicaceae
Source: RefSeq, a predicted model, not a curated record